RNAcentral lists this long non-coding RNA (1709 nucleotides) under Pan troglodytes (chimpanzee). Its description in RNAcentral is "long non-coding RNA NONPTRT006285". The record is from RNAcentral. Lineage: Eukaryota; Metazoa; Chordata; Mammalia; Primates; Hominidae.
AAAAUUGUGAAAAUAAUUGUUAAAUACAUUUGGCUUUAAGCAGGCACAGACUGUGAUCAGUUGUAAAUUUUAUAGGGAUUUAUGUUUUAAUGGUAUUGGGUGACUAACUUUUCUGAAUGCGUUUUCAGGGGAAUGAAUUGGAAGUAACCAUUAUGAUGGUGGUAGAAGCACUAUGUGAACUUCAUUGUCCUGAAGCUAUACAAGGAAUUGCUGUCUGGUCAUCAUCUAUUGUUGGAAAAAAUCUUCUGUGGGUUAACUCAGUGGCUCAACAGGCUGAAGGGAGGUUUGAAAGGCCUCUGUGGAGUACCAGGAACACCUGUGUGCCAUGACAGGUGUUGAUUGCUGCAUCUCCAGCUUUGACAAAUCGGUGCUCACCUUAGCCAAUGCUGGGUGUAACAGUGCCAGCCCGAAACAUUGUCUGAAUGGUGAAUCCAGAAAAACUGUGCUGUCCAAACCGACUGACUCUUCCCCUGAGGUUAUAAAUUAUUUAGGAAAUAAAGCAUGUGAGUGCUACAUCUCAAUUGCCGAUUGGGCUGCUGUGCAAGAAUGGCAGAACGCUAUCCAUGACUUGAAAAAGAGUACCAGUAGCACUUCCCUCAACCUGAAAGCUGACUUCAACUAUAUAAAAUCAUUAAGCAGCUUCGAGUCUGGAAAAUUUGUUGAAUGUACCGAGCAAUUAGAAUUGUUACCAGGAGAAAAUAUCAGUCUACUUGCUGGAGGAUCAAAAGAAAAAAUAGACAUGAAAAAACUGCUUCAUAACAUGUUAAGUCCAGAUCCAAGGGAACCUCAGAAAUCCAUUGAAGUUCAAUUGUUAAGAAGUUCUGUUUGUUUGGCAACUGCUUUAAACCCGAUAGAACAAGAUCAGAAGUGGCAGUCUAUAACUGAAAAUGUGGUAAAGUACUUGAAGCAAACAUCCCGCAUCGCUAUUGGACCUCUGAGACUUUCUACUUUAACAGUUUCACAGUCUUUGCCAGUUCUAAGUACCUUGCAGCUGUAUUGCUCAUCUGCUUUGGAGACCACAGUUUCUAACAGACUUUCAACAGAGGUAUGAUCUCGUGAAACCUUGAGAGAAAGUGAAUGACGAAUGAAACUAUUGUUCCUGUUUCACACAGAAGAAAACUGAGGUUAAAAGGGGUUGGCACUCAUCAUGAGCCCCUGUUCUCAUUCUGCAAAUGGUGAAGCUCUCUAUUGUCCUGACCCCACAGUUCCUGUCCCAUGACCAGGGCCAGCUCACCAAGGAGCUGCAGCAGCACGUAAAGUCAGUGACAUGCCCAUGCGAGUACCUGAGGAAGGUGAGUGAGUGCAGACAGAUGGGGCCUGGUGCCCUUGAGCAGUUCCCGGGUCUCAGCUGCCACACAUCUCAUAGCGGGUGAUGCUGGGGGAAGCUUACGCAGUCACAGUACUGGCUUCUUCCUCUUUUUCUUUCCAUACAAGGGGCUUAGGGAUGGGGUAGAGUAGUUGACUUAUUUGGAUGAAAACCACUAUCUUCUGCCAGAAACUCAAAAGGAAUCAUUGCUGGCAUGGUAACCUAAAGAAAAACAACCAGACAAGUGCCCAACGACACUUAAAAAGGUUAUUUAUUAUCUUGCCAAGUUUAGGCUGGGCAUGGUGACUCAUGCCUGUAAUCCCAGCAUUUUGGGAGGCUGAGGCUGGUGGAUCACCUGAGGCCAGGACUUCGAGACCAGCCUGACCAAUACGGCAAAACCUCG